UACGUAGGUGGCAAGCGUUAUCCGGAAUUAUUGGGCGUAAAGAGCGCGCAGGUGGUUGAUUAAGUCUGAUGUGAAAGCCCACGGCUUAACCGUGGAGGGUCGUUGGAAACUGGUCGACUUGAGUGCAGAAGAGGGAAGUGGAAUUCCAUGUGUAGCGGUGAAAUGCGUAGAGAUAUGGAGGAACACCAGUGGCGAAGGCGGCUUCCUGGUCUGUAACUGACACUGAGGCGCGAAAGCGUGGGGAGCAAACAGGAUUAGAUACCCCGGUA
Molecule: ribosomal RNA, 269 nt
Filed under: uncultured prokaryote
Description: partial 16S ribosomal RNA
Rfam family: Bacterial small subunit ribosomal RNA
Source: RNAcentral